Molecule: long non-coding RNA, 2035 nt
Organism: Anser brachyrhynchus (Pink-footed goose)
Lineage: Eukaryota; Metazoa; Chordata; Aves; Anseriformes; Anatidae
Source: Ensembl
GCUGGUUCCAGUGGUUUGCCAUCAACAGUUUCAUUCUUUUCCUUCUUCACCUUUAUUCUUCUUUGCUCUACCCCCACCUAGAAAUCUGUUUUCCUCCCCACCUUACUCGUCUCACCUCCCUACAGACUAUGCAUCCCCAAGUCCCUAGUGAUCCUUUCUUACUUGCCUGGUCUCUUUGCCCUGCCCUCCAGCUUCUCUGUCACCCUGUUUCAGGUCCAUCAGUGAAUGUUCAUUCUGCUAAUUUUCUUUCCCCAGUCUCUGCCCACAACUACCUUGCAGCCUGGGCAGCUGCAUGUCUCUUCAGUGCAUCACAACUACUCUGGGGGCAACAGAUACUGACUGGCCAGCUUUCAGCCGAUGUACUUGGCUGCUUUUAGACAAGGCAGCCUGUGGAGUAGACAAGCUUUCAAAAUCCUAGCUUGUGUUUUACAUCUGAUAUUAAAUACUUGUUGUCGCAGUUUGAUUGGUACUUUUACCUGUCUUAGGUAGCUGAAAGUCAGCUUGGAUGUGUCCUCAGCAUGUGGAAAAUGCCCAAAGCCCCAGGGAACAAAAAGGAAUAAGAGAGCUUUAAGUGCUGCUGCUUGAAACCAGGAGCUGAUCCCUGACAGCCCUCUGUAUCUCCCACCUGUAUCCCAGUGCUGCAGGAGGUUGAGCACUGGCACAGGUUGCCCAGAGAGGUUGUGGAGUCUCUCUCCUUAGAGAUCUUCAGAAGCCACCUGGACAUGAUCCUGAGCAACCUGCUCUGGGUGGCUCUCCUUAAACAGGGGGGUUGGACCAGAUGACUUGCAGAGGUCCCUGCCAACCUCAGUCAACCACUGUGUGUUUCUGAGAUUCUGUGAUCUGUGUGCAUCUGUGUGUGAACCCUUUCGUGGGGUCACAACAGAGCCAAAAGCAUAUGGAAAAGACAUGAUGGUGAGGAGGCAGGAAGGGACAGUUGCUGGAAAAUGAUUUCCCUUCCAUCUCUCCUGUUAUGCAGAGGUUGUUUGUUAUCUCGGAAUGCAGGCCUGCACUGGAGCGUGUAAUUACAACACCAUGUCCUGGGUUAGAAAGAACUCAGACACUAAAUUGUCCAUGUCAUCACCUGAAUUUGACCAUGAAAUAUGGCACAGAGGGACUGGGAAGGCAGCCUGUAAAGAGGGAGAAAGAGCUUUCUAAGUCCUGCACAAUGAAAAUGCACAAUAGAAAAAGAAGAAAAAGGGUGCCAACACACUUGCUCUGCUGGGAAUCUUCUGACCCCUUCUUGGAUGUUGUGUGAAAGACUGAAAGUCACAUUUCUUAAUGAACAUGGGACCAGAACCACUGAAGAUGAAGUGUGUCACUUGGGACAAUGUGGUUUGCACCUGGAGGAUGUCAGGAGUGCACAUAGUCCUACUGCUCAAGGAGAGAAGAAGGGGCCUUAACAGGUUUGUAGUUCUCUGCUCAUCAUCCCACAGAGGUGAGCUCUAUCUGUAAACAGUAGAUACAGCCAGUGAAAGAUAUGGCAGAUAUGGCACCUGUUCCUGGAAACAGGCUGGACAACUCAUCUGGAAGAGUAAAACAGCUAGCAGAGUGCUCCUGUGCUUCUGCAUGAGCUGAAGGAACAGGCUUUCUUUAAGACAGUCUCCUAGAAGAGGGAAAAGUGGGACAUCUAUCAGCUGUUUGUAGAGCAAUGGGAGAAACCUUGGCAGUAUCUGAUAUUCCUGUACCAUGGAUGAAGAGAAACCUCCAUCAUGUGGGGCUCUGACUCCAAACCCACCCCACAGAGCUGAACCCGCUGCUUCUGGAACAAGCAAUGCUCGCAGGAAGUACACCAGGAUGCAGUAAAUACUCAUCCUGCCUUGCUUCUCUCCUUGCUCUUCACAUCCACUUGGGCAGUAAGGACUCUGAGGAGAACCUUUGCAGCUUCCUGUCAGCCUGGUGACUGCCAUAUACCCUUCAUAGCACAGAAACACCAGGGGUGUUGGACAGAGAUCUGGAUUAUACAUUUUAUCAGCAGGGUCUCAUUUUUGUUCCUUAAAGUCAUCUGAAAAAUAAAAUAAUUUAGCGUGCAGAUACA